Molecule: ribosomal RNA, 434 nt
Filed under: uncultured bacterium
Lineage: Bacteria
Description: bacterial SSU rRNA
Rfam family: Bacterial small subunit ribosomal RNA
Source: RNAcentral
GUCGAGGAUCUUCGGCAAUGGGCGCAAGCCUGACCGAGCGACGCCGCGUGUGCGAUGAAGGCCUUCGGGUUGUAAAGCACUGUCGGGGGGAAGAAAAGCCGCAAGGCCUGAUCGACCCCCGGAGGAAGCACGGGCUAAGUUCGUGCCAGCAGCCGCGGUAAGACGAACCGUGCAAACGUUGUUCGGAAUCACUGGGCUUAAAGGGCGCGUAGGCGGGCUCGCCAGUCAGGGGUGAAAGCCCACGGCUUAACCGUGGAAGUGCCUCUGAUACUGCGAGUCUCGAGGGAGGUAGGGGCGUGCGGAACUUCCGGUGGAGCGGUGAAAUGCGUAGAUAUCGGAAGGAACACCGGUGGCGAAAGCGGCGCGCUGGACCUCUUCUGACGCUGAGGCGCGAAAGCCAGGGGAGCGAACGGGAUUAGAAACCCGAGUAGUCC